Molecule: ribosomal RNA, 301 nt
Filed under: uncultured bacterium
Lineage: Bacteria
Description: partial 16S ribosomal RNA
Rfam family: Bacterial small subunit ribosomal RNA
Source: RNAcentral
CAGUCGCCGCGGUAAUACGGAGGGUGCAAGCGUUAAUCGGAAUUACUGGGCGUAAAGCGCACGCAGGCGGUCUGACAAGUCAGAUGUGAAAUCCCCGGGCUUAACCUGGGAACUGCAUUUGAAACUGUCAGGCUGGAGUCUUGUAGAGGGGGGUGGAAUUCCAGGUGUAGCGGUGAAAUGCGUAGAGAUCUGGAGGAAUACCGGUGGCGAAGGCGGCCCCCUGGACAAAGACUGACGCUCAGGUGCGAAAGCGUGGGAAGCAAACAGGAUUAGAUACCCCGGUAGUCCCUGUCUCUUAUAC